This 72-nucleotide transfer RNA is filed under the name Clostridium sp. CAG:81. Its description in RNAcentral is "transfer RNA-Pseudo(GCC)". The stretch from base 1 to 60 matches the Rfam family "tRNA". From Rfam's summary of the family: Transfer RNA (tRNA) molecules are approximately 80 nucleotides in length. Their secondary structure includes four short double-helical elements and three loops (D, anti-codon, and T loops). Lineage: Bacteria; Bacillati; Bacillota; Clostridia; Eubacteriales; Clostridiaceae. The record is from RNAcentral.
GCACGAGUGGCUCAGUGGUGGAGUAUCGCCUUGCCAAGGCGAAGGUCGCGGGCUCGAACGGUUCGAAGUCCA